ACGCACUUAUCUACAAGUCCAUAUUGAUUUAAACAAAAGAGAGAUCCAGAUCUCUCAAUUAUGGAAUGUAGUGAAGUGCGUUG
RNAcentral lists this microRNA precursor (83 nucleotides) under Brachionus plicatilis. RNAcentral's name for it is "Bpl-Mir-1-P23_pre stem-loop". The record is from RNAcentral. Lineage: Eukaryota; Metazoa; Rotifera; Eurotatoria; Ploima; Brachionidae.